AUCCAACUGAUGAGUUCCGGCAAGGACGAAACGUGCGUCCUGAAU
This is a non-coding RNA of Schistosoma haematobium, 45 nucleotides long. The record is from Rfam. Lineage: Eukaryota; Metazoa; Platyhelminthes; Trematoda; Strigeidida; Schistosomatidae.